UUAACUUUUACUGCUUACACU
This 21-nucleotide non-coding RNA is filed under the name Arabidopsis thaliana (thale cress). The record is from RNAcentral. Lineage: Eukaryota; Viridiplantae; Streptophyta; Magnoliopsida; Brassicales; Brassicaceae.